Long non-coding RNA from Triticum aestivum (bread wheat), 273 nucleotides. RefSeq lists it as uncharacterized. NCBI's taxonomy places the organism in Eukaryota, Viridiplantae, Streptophyta, Magnoliopsida, Poales, Poaceae. The record is from RefSeq and is a predicted model, not a curated record. The transcript has 2 exons.
CGCGACACUGGCUAAGAUGCGUACGGUGGUUCUCUUCUUCCACAACAAGAGGAAGGUGCGGUGUGGCUACGACAUAGUUGAAGUUCAGGAUAUUGUUAUUGCUUUCUCAAAUUUUGCUUGGGAGCAGUACACUUUGCAUCUUGCAGUACGAACCCCAUCGCGUCGUGGUGCAGUCAACCACAACGCAGAGCCUUGAAAAUUUGUUCGUGCUAUUUAGAGUUCUCUCAAUGUGUAGAAGAUAAUUAUUUCACCUUUUUGAAGUCCGCUUUGUUC